This 440-nucleotide ribosomal RNA is filed under the name uncultured bacterium. RNAcentral describes it as "partial 16S ribosomal RNA". It matches the Rfam family "Bacterial small subunit ribosomal RNA", at positions 339 to 795 of the family's 1533-position model. The record is from RNAcentral.
CUACGGGUUGCUGCAGUGAGGAAUAUUGCACAAUGGGGGAAACCCUGAUGCAGCAACGCCGCGUGGAGGAUGACGCAUUUCGGUGUGUAAACUCCUUUUAUCAGAGAAGAAAAUGACGGUAUCUGAUGAAUAAGCUCCGGCUAACUCCGUGCCAGCAGCCGCGGUAAUAGCGGAGGGAGCAAGCGUUAUUCGGAAUCACUGGGCGUAAAGGACGCGUAGGCGGGUUUUUAAGUCAGGUGUGAAAUCCUAUGGCUCAACCAUAGAACUGCACUUGAAACUGGGGACCUAGAGUAUGGAAGGGGCAGGUGGAAUUAGUGGUGUACGGGUAAAAUCCGUAGAUAUCACUAGGAAUACCGAAAGCGAAGGCGACCUGCUGGGACAUUACUGACGCUGAGGCGUGAAAGCGUGGGGAGCAAACAGGAUUAGAUACCCCUGUAGUC